CUUGACGACCAUAGAUCAUUGGAACCACCUGAUCCCAUCCCGAACUCAGCAGUGAAACGAUGCAUCGCCGAUGGUAGUGUGGGGCUUCCCCAUGUGAGAGUAGGUCAUCGUCAAGA
This 116-nucleotide ribosomal RNA is filed under the name Pseudomonas sp. ABFPK. Lineage: Bacteria; Pseudomonadati; Pseudomonadota; Gammaproteobacteria; Pseudomonadales; Pseudomonadaceae. The record is from RNAcentral.